GGAAGGCUGGUGCGGACGAGGCGCUCGCCAACCCGGUCAGGUCCGGAAGGAAGCAGCCGCAACGGGUCAGCUUCGGGUCGCCGCCAGUCUUCCACC
This 96-nucleotide signal recognition particle RNA is filed under the name Geminicoccaceae bacterium. Its description in RNAcentral is "signal recognition particle sRNA small type". It matches the Rfam family "Bacterial small signal recognition particle RNA". Rfam says of the family: The signal recognition particle (SRP) is a universally conserved ribonucleoprotein involved in the co-translational targeting of proteins to membranes. The record is from RNAcentral. Lineage: Bacteria; Pseudomonadati; Pseudomonadota; Alphaproteobacteria; Geminicoccales; Geminicoccaceae.